GUGGAGAUGGCUUAGUUGGUAAAGCCCUUGCCUUGUAAGCAAUAGGGCCUGAAAUCAAUCCCCANA
RNAcentral lists this transfer RNA (66 nucleotides) under Neotoma lepida (desert woodrat). It matches the Rfam family "tRNA". Rfam says of the family: Transfer RNA (tRNA) molecules are approximately 80 nucleotides in length. Their secondary structure includes four short double-helical elements and three loops (D, anti-codon, and T loops). Further hydrogen bonds mediate the characteristic L-shaped molecular structure. tRNAs have two regions of fundamental functional importance: the anti-codon, which is responsible for specific mRNA codon recognition, and the 3' end, to which the tRNAs corresponding amino acid is attached (by aminoacyl-tRNA synthetases). tRNAs cope with the degeneracy of the genetic code in two manners: having more than one tRNA (with a specific anti-codon) for a particular amino acid; and 'wobble' base-pairing, i.e. permitting non-standard base-pairing at the 3rd anti-codon position. Lineage: Eukaryota; Metazoa; Chordata; Mammalia; Rodentia; Cricetidae. The record is from Rfam by way of RNAcentral.